CAACAUCCAUUUGUUGGGGACAAAUAAAAUGAAUAUGAGUGUCAACCCCACCAGCUGUUAAGAUUUUUCCCUCUCCUGAGAUGACUUCAGUACCAGCUCCAAUGACUAGGUUAGCGUCAACGUUAUCCAUAAUAUCUGGGUUUCCGCUUUUCCCUACCCCUACAAUUCUCCCGUUUUUCACUCCAACGUCAGCUUUUAUAAUACCUGUAUGAUCAAUCACAAUUACAUUUGUGAUCACUAAAUCAAGGGCUCCUUCCUUAGCUGUUAAUCGUCCAUUCUGUCCCAUCCCAUCACGAAUCG
Molecule: small RNA, 300 nt
Filed under: Priestia endophytica
Lineage: Bacteria; Bacillati; Bacillota; Bacilli; Caryophanales; Bacillaceae
Description: Bacillus endophyticus 5' ureB small RNA
Rfam family: 5' ureB small RNA
Source: Rfam by way of RNAcentral